Molecule: long non-coding RNA, 1385 nt
Organism: Ahaetulla prasina
Lineage: Eukaryota; Metazoa; Chordata; Lepidosauria; Squamata; Colubridae
Exons: 3
Source: RefSeq, a predicted model, not a curated record
UAUGUUGCAUGAUGUACACUGCCUUGAGUUAUACAGAAAUAAAGGGAGGGUGUAAAUCCAAUCAUCAUAGUAAGAAUAACAACAUAAAGUUUUCCUAGUAAAGCAGGAACUUGGCUUAUAAGGAAGCCUACGUAUAGCUGUAUACUUUAUGUAACUUUCUCUUUAUAAAUAACUACAGUGAAUGUUUACAAAGGGCUAACAUGCAAAAGCAAGAACAAAAAAUGAUACGAGGCUUAUCAGGAGUGCUCACAUAUUAAGAAAUUUGGGGCAUUGCAUCUCUUAGGGGAUAAGAGUUUCUUUUAGAACUGUAUUGUUUGUCUGGGAAAUAAUACUGCAGUAUUGUAGUUACUGAUACUGUAUGAAGCACAUGAGAACUCAAUUGCUUGGAAAUAAUUGAACAGACACUCUUCACCUCCAUAUUCUUUUUUUCUUACAGAUGAUUACACCAAUAUCCUUGCUAGGGGCUCCUAUUUCUCAAAGGUCUAUUCAGCAGCUUUCCCCAACCUGCCACCCAAUAUUAUCUUGCUUGUUCUGAUGGAGAAUCCUUUUCUUUUGUUCAGAAACCUGCGGCAUCUCUAUUCAGGAACAACAAUGCAGUGCCAGAAGAAUAUACUCCCAAACAACUGAGUGAUUAUUAUUAGAGAUUUCCAGAACAUGACUCAUGAUGAAGCCAGGGCUUGCCCUCUUCACAUUGUUGUCUUUCUAACCAUAUCAGUUGUGCUAGACCAGGGGUGUCAAAGUGGCGGCCCACGGACUGGAUGCGUCACACAUAGGCCACAAUACCUCAUGUGAUGGCAACGUGACAUGGCGAGUUUAACACCUGUGUGCCAGACAAUACUGUGUGUGCUUCCUUAGUGUCUCUGAGCAAUUUCAAGAAAGGAAUGAUAGUUAUAAACCUAAUAAAAAGUCAUAGAAAUGUUAUCUAUUUUUUCUAUUUAGAGUGAAGGUGGAUAGUAUAAAUGUAUGUUGAAAUUUACUAAUUUCCUUGGAAAGUAAAUUAUGCAGUCAUCAGUUUUUAGAAUUCUGAAUAUCAAUAUGUCAUUCAUGAAGAUUAAAUAUAAAAGAAUUUUCAGGCUUAAAAGCGGGGGGAGAAAAACAUGGAAAUUAUUGGCAGUUUUCGAUAUAUGAGAAGCAGAUAGAGGAAAAUAGACUAGACUGAGAAUUCAAGACAAAUCUGUGUGGAAUGCGGAUGUAACUUUGGAAGAAAAAAGGAAAGUUGCUGCAGCCGUGACUCAAUCUGAAAUAUUGCUGAUUGUUGAAGGAAUUCCAGUUUCCUUUUGAUGUGCCAUAGAAUUAUUAUUGAAAAUCUCCAAUGAUUAUUCAUUCCAAGGUAAUUCAGGCUGCAAUUUUAUAAGGUAAGAUAACCUUUAUUAUCACUUUUCUGU